GAAAAGAAGCUUUAAAAGUUCUUAUUGGUAUCCUGGAAAAAGUAGAAAUGGAGAAGGCUGCUAAGAAUUUAGAUGCAAAAGCCCAAUCCAGUGGCAGUUCUGAAAGCUCUGAAGGCCUGAAGGUGAAGGUGAUACUUCUUCCUCUGAUUGAUGGUUCCCCCUCUUGUUUGUUGAAGACUGAAGACUGUAUGAGGUGUGCUGUGAAGACUGUGAAGUUGUUGUGUCUGAUGUUUUGGGUGGUGUUCUGCUGUUGCUAUAUGGAUGCUGAAGUUUUUUUGUUUUUU
Molecule: long non-coding RNA, 284 nt
Filed under: Lathyrus oleraceus (garden pea)
Lineage: Eukaryota; Viridiplantae; Streptophyta; Magnoliopsida; Fabales; Fabaceae
Description: Pisum sativum (pea) long non-coding RNA (PSAT_LNC027033)
Source: RNAcentral